GUACUUACCAGGCAGGGAAGAUCCCUUUGUCAUGGCUGUCCCACAGCAAGGCUUAUUUACUGUACUUCGAAUGUAGAGACCCUUGCAGUUUCCCUCAGUGUGAGAAACUCAAUUUGUGUUCCGUGGUAGUGUGAGACUGCAUUUGUGUGCUCCUGUU
Molecule: small nuclear RNA, 157 nt
Filed under: Mesocricetus auratus (golden hamster)
Lineage: Eukaryota; Metazoa; Chordata; Mammalia; Rodentia; Cricetidae
Description: U1 spliceosomal RNA (ENSMAUG00000004994.1)
Source: RNAcentral